GCGUAGAGAUCCGGAGGAACAUCAGUGGCGAAGACGGUCGGCUGGGUCUCAUCGGACGCUGAGGUGCGAAAGCGUGGUUAGCGAACGGGAUUAGAAACCCCGGUAGUCCACGCCGUAAACGAUGCAGACUAGAUGUUGCUAGCCGUAGAGGUUAUGAGUGUCGAAGCAAACGCGAUAAGUCUGCAGCCUGGGGAGUACGGUCGCAAGGUUCAAACUCAAAGGAAUCGACGGGGGCCCGCACAAGCAGCGGAGCGUGUGGUCCAAUUCGAGCCUACGCGAAGAACCUCACCUGGGCUUGACAUAGCGCUGGUAGCGACCCGAAAGGGGAGUCACAUAUGAGCCGUUACAGGUGCUGCAUGGCUGUCGUCAGCUCGUGCCGUGAGGUGUUCGGUGAAGUCCGCGAACGAGCGCAACCCUUACUGCCAGUUACAAGUGUCUGGCGGGACUGCCCGGGGGAACCGGGCGCGAAGGUGGGGAUGACGUCAAGUCAGCAUGGCCUUUAUGUCCAGGGUGACACACACGCUACAAUGGCUGGUACAACGGGGAGCGAAGUCCCGAGACGGAGCGAAUCCAGCAAAGCCAGUCUCAGUUCGGACUUGUAGGCUGCAACUCGCCUGCAUGAAGUUGGAG
RNAcentral lists this ribosomal RNA (630 nucleotides) under uncultured organism. RNAcentral describes it as "bacterial SSU rRNA". It matches the Rfam family "Bacterial small subunit ribosomal RNA", at positions 688 to 1331 of the family's 1533-position model. The record is from RNAcentral.